CCUGAAGGAUCAAGAAGGUUGGGUCUGAUGAAGCACAUGCUUGCUGAUACGCUCCUCCUAGACAAAGGAGUGGAGAGAGCAGCCCUUAUUGGAGAGGACCACAGGGCUCACUGUACUACUCAACAUUU
Non-coding RNA from Mastomys coucha (southern multimammate mouse), 128 nucleotides. RefSeq annotates it as small Cajal body-specific RNA 4. The record is from RefSeq and is a predicted model, not a curated record. The transcript has a single exon. NCBI's taxonomy places the organism in Eukaryota, Metazoa, Chordata, Mammalia, Rodentia, Muridae.